Molecule: ribosomal RNA, 253 nt
Filed under: uncultured bacterium
Lineage: Bacteria
Description: partial 16S ribosomal RNA
Rfam family: Bacterial small subunit ribosomal RNA
Source: RNAcentral
UACGUAGGGUGCAAGCGUUAAUCGGAAUUACUGGGCGUAAAGCGUGCGCAGGCGGCUUUGCAAGCCAGAUGUGAAAUCCCCGGGCCCAACCUGGGAACUGCAUUUGUGACUGCAUGGCUAGAGUACGGUAGAGGGGGAUGGAAUUCCGCGUGUAGCAGUGAAAUGCGUAGAUAUGCGGAGGAACACCGAUGGCGAAGGCAAUCCCCUGGACCUGUACUGACGCUCAUGCACGAAAGCGUGGGGAGCAAACAGG